Molecule: long non-coding RNA, 280 nt
Organism: Hypomesus transpacificus
Lineage: Eukaryota; Metazoa; Chordata; Actinopteri; Osmeriformes; Osmeridae
Exons: 3
Source: RefSeq, a predicted model, not a curated record
AGGACAUCUCCAGGGAAACCGGGGCCUCUCUCCCUCCCUGUGGGGGACAUUCACAGUACUCUACUGUAUGUGUAUGCUGUGGUUCUGUUGUGAACCCCGUAUGUCAGCUGUGCUCAUGCUUCUGUAUACGUUCCUCGCUCUCACCCUUCACCUCCCCCCCAGUCUCACCCCACCCAGCUUGCUCUCCAAGCGUGGGUUGAGGAUCUCCAGAGGAGAGGCGAGGAGGAGCGGAAAGGAGGAGAGGACUGCAGGCGGCAGAAUUCCUGGGAUUCUAGGCGUA